RNAcentral lists this ribosomal RNA (951 nucleotides) under uncultured archaeon. Its description in RNAcentral is "bacterial SSU rRNA". It matches the Rfam family "Archaeal small subunit ribosomal RNA", at positions 1 to 925 of the family's 1478-position model. The record is from RNAcentral.
AUUUUCCGGUUGAUCCUGCCGGACCCUACUGCUAUCGGGGUGGGGCUAAGACAUGCGAGUCGAACGUUUCACAGCCAUGAGUGAAACGUGGCAUACGGCUCAGUAACACGUGGCUGACCUACCCUCGAGACGGAAACAACCCCGGGAAACUGGGGCUAAUCUCCGAUAGGUGAAGACUCCUUGAAUGGAUCUUCGCCCAAAAAGUGUUGGAAUCAUGCUUUCCAGCAUUGCUCGAGGAUGGAGCCGCGGCCGAUCAGGUAGUUGGUGAGGUAACGGCUCACCAAGCCUAUAACCGGUACGGGCCGUGGGAGCGGGAGCCCGGAGAUGGGAACUGAGACAAGGUCCCAGGCCCUACGGGGCGCAGCAGUCGCGAAAACUCCGCAAUGCACGAAAGUGUGACGGGGCUACCCCGAGUGCCGUCCGCUGAGGAUGGCUUUUCUCUGCUGUAAGGAGGCGGAGGAAUAAGGAGGGGGCAAGUCUGGUGUCAGCCGCCGCGGUAAUACCAGCUCUCCGAGUGGUAGGGAUGAUUAUUGGGCUUAAAGCGUGCGUAGCUGGCCUUUCAAGUCUCUCGUUAAAUCCAGCGAUUCAAUCGUUGGACUGCGGGAGAUACUGUUAGGCUAGGGGGCGGGAGAAGUCGACGGUAUUCCCGGAGUAGGGGUAAAAUCCUAUAAUCCCGGGAAGACCACCAGUGGCGUAGGCGGUCGGCUAGCACGCGCCCGACGGUGAGGGACGAAAGCUGGGGGAGCGAACCGGAUUAGAUACCCGGGUAGUCCCAGCUGUAAACGAUGCGGACUAGGUGUUGGAGCGGCUACGAGCCGCUUCAGUGCCGCAGGGAAGCCAUUAAGUCCGCCGCCUGGGGAGUACGGCCGCAAGGCUGAAACUUAAAGGAAUUGGCGGGGGAGCACCACAAGGGGUGAAGCUUGCGGUUUAAUUGGAGUCAACGCCGGAAAU